Molecule: ribosomal RNA, 497 nt
Filed under: uncultured bacterium
Lineage: Bacteria
Description: partial 16S ribosomal RNA
Rfam family: Bacterial small subunit ribosomal RNA
Source: RNAcentral
GAUGAACGCUGGCGGCGUGCCUAAUACAUGCAAGUCGAGCGAACGGACGAGAAGCUUGCUUCCCUGAUGUUAGCGGCGGACGGGUGAGGAACACGUGGAUAACCUACCUAUAAGACUGGGAUAACUUCGGGAAACCGGAGCUAAUACCGGAUAAUAUUGUGAGCCGGAUGGUUCAAAAGAGAAAGACGGUCUUGCUGUCACUUAUAGAUGUAUCCGCGCUGCAUUAGCUAGUUGGUAAGGUAACGGCUUACCAAGGCAACGAUGCAUAGCCGACCUGAGAGGGUGAUCAGCCACACUGGAACUGAGACACGGUCCAGACUCCUACGGGAGGCAGCAGUAGGGAAUCUUCCGCAAUGGGCGAAAGCCUGACGGAGCAACGCCGCGUGAGUGAUGAAGGUCUUCGGAUCGUAAAACUCUGUUAUUAGGGAAGAACAUAUGUGUAAGUAACUCUGCACAUCUUGACGGUACCUACUCAGAAAGCCCCGGCUAACUACGUG